RNAcentral lists this ribosomal RNA (460 nucleotides) under uncultured bacterium. RNAcentral's name for it is "partial 16S ribosomal RNA". It matches the Rfam family "Bacterial small subunit ribosomal RNA", at positions 338 to 795 of the family's 1533-position model. The record is from RNAcentral.
CCUACGGGUGGCAGCAGUGAGGAAUAUUGGUCAAUGGACGAGAGUCUGAACCAGCAACGCCGCGUGAAGGAUGACUGCCCUAUGGGUGGUAAACUUCUUUUAUAUGGACAUAAAAUGUUCCACGUGUGGGAUUUUGUAUGUACAAUAUGAAUAAGGAUCGGCUAACUCCGUGCCAGCAGCCGCGGUAAUACGGCGGAUCCGAGCGUUAUCCGGAUUUAUUGGGUUUAAAGGGAGCGUAGGUGGAUUGUUAAGUCAGUUGUGAAAGUUUGGGGCUCAACCGUAAAAUUGCAGUUGAAACUGGCAGUCUUGGGUACAGGAGAGGUGGGCGGAAUUCGUGGUGUAGCGGUGAAAUGCGUAGAUAUCACGAAGAACUCCGAUGGCGAAGGCAGCUCACUGGACUGCAACUGACACUGAGGCUCGAAAGUGUGGGUAUCAAACAGGAUUAGAUACCCUUGUAGUC